CGCAUGGACGUGAUGUCCCCGCAACAGGAGCACCUCGGGCCCGGCCGCUCAUCCUCGGUGAGCGGCGAGAGCAGAGUGUUCGCCGCCGCCGACAGCAAGAAGAGGAGACUGGCUGCCAAACACACUGGGAGGAUUAGGACGUGGCCAGGUUAUGGUGUCCUUUAUUAAAGCUGUCCACUUGAUGCAUGGUAGAUUGUGCCCAGCCCUGCUGCAAGCGAUGGCUGGGGCUUUGUGGCUGAGGGAGCCCCACUUCCACUCCUCCUCCAGAGCAUCUCUUUGGGCUGGAGCGUAUGUCCCUGGGAUGUGUCCCUGUGUAUCUCAUCCUACCAAGGCGUGCACCUGACUGCAGCCCCAGGGACAUCUCAGGGCACAAGUAGAGUGUGAAAUGGCUGCUUGGGGAGUGCUUGGCCUGACUUCUGCCUACACCUCGAUUCGAUAAGUUUCUGAAGAAGGAGUGCAAUACACCUACAUGAAGGGGUGGAGUGUCUUCUGCUGGACAAAUGGAUGGAGUGAACGCUUGCCCUCCCCAGUACUACUGUGUAAUGUGAGGCAGCUAAACGUGUGGCUUUGAUUGUUCUCCUACUGCUUCUCUGAUUUUUACUGAAGACACCUUGCUGCCCCGAUGCCAGACAUCACCUGAAAUGAGAAGAGAUGCUCAAGUGCUGCGAAGAUGAACACUGCUUUCCUACAAAUUCUUUAUGAUUCAGCUUACUGAAGACAAGAACUGAAGGCAGCACUCGUGCUUCCUGUUCCUGCUCCCAUUGAAGGAACGCAGACCUUGUUUUUGCCAGCGCUGAGAAAGGAGCGGGGAUGUUACUUUUUACAGAUCUUGGCAGCUCUCUUGGAAUUCCUCAGCAUGCAGGCACAGACAGUGGGGGUACAUAGGGAAUCCUCCAGCAGCUGCAAGCAUCAGUCCAGCCCCUGUGCUCCUCCACAGUCCCAGUGCUCCCUGGAGUUUCCUUACAGGCUUCCUCUCUGGCUGGGGAAGGUUCACGCCUGCUCAAUACUGGGCUAGUCCUAAAUCUGCUUGAAGCAGGAUCUCAAUGGCAGUUCAAAUUAUUUUUUGUUCCUUAUGUGCUAUGGACUCUCUGAAUACCUCUGUUUUGAGCUCCACACAGUGCUAAGGCACAGCACUUUUUGACAAAGCAGGAAGGCUUUGUUAUUACAGAACAUACUGCGCUGCUUGUAGCAGUUGUAUGCAGUUGUGUGUAAGAGCGUGCUGACAAGAGACCAGCUUUGAUACUGGUGACACAGCAAGGCAAGUUUAAAGAUAUUGUUGCAAAUGCGUAUUUAACAUUCACACUGCCUGUGAGUCUCUGUGCUCUUUACUGAGAUCCUGGCCAACAAUUUGGGGGGCUGCAGUCAGAAUCACACCACAUAGCGCCAGAAAUCUCAGCUCACCAGGAACACUUCUGUGACAAAAAAUGCCCCCUAACAUGGAAUGUUGAGCCACCAAUGAGCGUUUUUAUUUUAUUAUUUCAAUUACACCGUUCCCAAGUCAAAUGUAUUUUGCUGAGAUUUCCUGUGUUGUUCUGUGAUUGUUUGAAUUCCUAUUUUAUUUUCCACUUGGCUGUCACAACAAAGCUGAAGGAUCACAUCAUAGGACCGGGAGGUAGAAGUUGUCUAGGACUCAAUCCGUGUGCUUUGUGGGACCACUUAAACUACUGUCUUGCAAACACUUCCUCUCCUUUAUGUGUAAAGCAAUCUGAAAUGCUAGCACACAUCACAAAUACUGGGAGCUUCUCCCUAUUAAAUGCUUGUCAGGCAUUCAAGACACCCUUCUGGAAGGUGACACUGAAGCACAGUGUUUCAGUUGAUCCUUUUGGAAAAUUCUGGGUCAGGUUCCUUCCUUUACUGGACUUAACUGGAGUCACUGGACAGUGGUUGACUGACCUGCAGAGAAGUUUUUGUACUGACUGUUUAGUAACCAAUACCAGUAAAUUGAUGCAACUCUGAAGUGGGCUGAAGUAAGAUGAGUAAAAGUGAUUUUACUGAUGGAGCUUAUUUGUACAAAUUUAUCAAAACAAACGAUUCAGCAUGUCUUCUGUGCCAGUGUAUCUGUGUCAGCAGGAACAGCUGUGGUCAUUUAAUUGUAUUUAUAAGUUUCUGGUGUUUCACUUCUCCCUUCUUAGAGGAGUUAGAUUCCAACCAGUGCUGAAUAUUUUACACAAGACAAUCUUUG
Molecule: long non-coding RNA, 2182 nt
Organism: Gallus gallus (chicken)
Lineage: Eukaryota; Metazoa; Chordata; Aves; Galliformes; Phasianidae
Source: Ensembl